CAGUCGCCGCGGUAAUACGUAGGUCCCGAGCGUUGUCCGGAUUUAUUGGGCGUAAAGCGGGCGCAGGCGGUUAGAUAAGUCUGAAGUUAAAGGCUGUGGCUCAACCAUAGUUCGCUUUGGAAACUGUCAAACUUGAGUGCAGAAGGGGAGAGUGGAAUUCCAUGUGUAGUGGUGAAAUGCGUAGAUAUAUGGAGGAACACCGGUGGCGAAAGCGGCUCUCUGGUCUGUAACUGACGCUGAGGCUCGAAAGCGUGGGGAGCGAACAGGAUUAGAUACCCGCGUAGUCCCUGUCUCUUAUACA
This 301-nucleotide ribosomal RNA is filed under the name uncultured bacterium. Its description in RNAcentral is "partial 16S ribosomal RNA". It matches the Rfam family "Bacterial small subunit ribosomal RNA", at positions 509 to 808 of the family's 1533-position model. The record is from RNAcentral.